AGGAUCCUACGGGGGGCAGCAGUGAGGGAUAUUGGUCAAUGGGGGAAACCCUGAACCAGCAACGCCGCGUGAGGGAAGACGGUUUUCGGAUUGUAAACCUCUGUCCUCUGUGAAGAUAAUGACGGUAGCAGAGGAGGAAGCUCCGGCUAACUACGUGCCAGCAGCCGCGGUAAUACGUAGGGAGCGAGCGUUGUCCGGAUUUACUGGGUGUAAAGGGUGCGUAGGCGGGUAAGCAAGUCAGAAGUGAAAUCCAUGGGCUUAACCCAUGAACUGCUUUUUAAACUGUGCGGCUCGAGUGCGGGAGG
RNAcentral lists this ribosomal RNA (305 nucleotides) under uncultured bacterium. RNAcentral's name for it is "bacterial SSU rRNA". It matches the Rfam family "Bacterial small subunit ribosomal RNA", at positions 333 to 655 of the family's 1533-position model. The record is from RNAcentral.